UUUGAGGAACUGAUCUGAUUCGUUCUAUCUAGUUUUAAUAUACCUAUGGUUGUUUUUUACAAGGGGAUUUUAACAAACACAAAAGUAUUUAAGUUUGCAUUUAGCUGCUAAAUAUGUUUUCUCUGUUAGCCACGUUUAGCAUGCUUGGUAGAGCAUGUUGAAUAUGCGCACAAGGUGGAACCAACAAAGGCAGUUUUGAUUCUUCGGUUUUCAGAUUCCAUAUUAUAUCAAAAAGUGUCAUGAGUGUGUGCGAAGUAUGGCGCAGCAUUUUAAUAUAAUCAUUCUUGUAAUGCACUUAAUUGCUUUAUGGCAUAGUUAUGUUUGCGAAAUCAAUGUUGGAACAAAUAUUCAUGAAAUACUAGAAAGCCAUUUAAUGCCACUUGAUCUCUUUACAUUAUGUGCAAAAUGUCGGCUUAGGAACAAAAUUUCGAAUGAGUUUACUGCCGUUCUACACUUAAUGACAUAUCACAGAAAAAUGAUUCACAACUACAUGACAUCUAAUUAUCUUUCAAAGGAAAUUUUAAAUUCAAUGAAUAUUAAAGAAAAUGAACUCAUCAAAAGUGGAAUUAAAGGAGAUACAUAUUUUGAAGGAAAUCAGUCGAACGCAAAAUCCUCUGAUGUCUUUAAUAAAAUGUUAGUGGAAAGCGGCUCUUUACAAUACAAAUCACUGUUAAAAAGCUUAAUGGCUAUAUAUUACCGCGAUACAAAUUCAAAGGAAAUUAGUCAGUAUACCUAUGGAAGUGGGAAUCGAUAUCGAAGGUCGUCAGAUCUAAAUCAGCCGAGUUCCGCAGCAACAGAAGAAUAUGAUUACGGGGACAUUACUGGCUAUGCUUAUACGGGUGCCCCUUCAUUGGCCCCUAGAUCCCAUUUCAUUUCUCCUGGAGAAUUUAACAACAAAUUAAUCUUCAAGGAUAAUUUUGCCUUAAUUUCGAAGAAAAACAAUAAAAAUGGAUAUGAUCAUCCCCAAAAGGAAUACACAUCCGAUUAUGAGGAACAUCCGGAGCGCCUGAAUUCUGUUACCGAUUUAUCAAAAAAUAAGAAAGAAAUAAAUUUUAAGGACAUAUCGGACAUCGCACUAACAACAUUAGCAUUUUUAUCGUUUGGAAUGUUUACACUACAAGUGCUUAUGUGCAUAGUUAUGAGUAAAGAAGAUGAACAAAGUAUAAUGAUGCUUCCUAUGGAAGUAACUGAGCCUUCUGAAACAAUUGAUGGGACUGAGGAAAUAAGAAGACGAAAACGAUCCGUGAAUAAAAAUAAAACAUUUAAACAGAUUAUCGACAUGUCGAGGCUUAUGCUCAUCUCAGUAGAAAAUGUAGCUUCAACUGGACAAACUGCAAUUUUCAAUGGACGGUACUUACCUUGCAAUAUUUCUACUGCAAUUGAACUAUCUUUUCAACAGAAGGCUUGGAUAUUAUUAAUUAUGGUAAGCCGGGGUGGCUUUGCUGGAGGGUCUGUGUGCCGGUUGGAAACGGUAACUCACGCUCCUCACUAUUCCAACGCAUGAUGGCGUUGCAGUCGCCCCUCUUGAACGCGACCACUAGCGCUCCGCUAUGACAUUAACUAACUGAAUGGCGCGCAUUUUAAAAAAGAGUGUUAUGCUGCCGCACCCUGUACCUGCAAUAGCAAUAUGGAAAUCGUCCGACGAGCUUAAUCAAAGAUCCUCAGAACUAUCAGCGUGGAACCGUGGCUUGUUCGAAACGAAAACAUUCAUUGAGUCUUCAACCUACCUCAUUCAAAAAUGCAAUAGCUGAAAUCAAGAGGAAAUACUAUGUCAAGCUUACAUCGCACCCCAACCCGUCUCCGACGCUACGUGUCCAGCGAACAAACUUUUUAAAGACGUCUCAUCAAAGCACAGUUUAAUAUAAACUGUUGACAAAAUAAACCCAUUGAAGAAGAUGCAAAUAAUUACGUAACACCACAUCAACGUAACACCGCUAACCCGCCAAUAAGCACCCAAGCAGUGACAUUAAAGAUAUUGAAGAAAAAGUAAAAUAAGUCCUAGAAGCCAGUUCCUUAAGCGAAAUUCUCAAUUCUCAUUAUUUACCAGGCAUCUGUCUAACAAUUAAAGAUAUUUCGGCAAGCAAAAUGAAAUAAUCAGAUGAAAGGCCAUAGCGAGGCUCACCAAAAUAUAACGGAAUCAAUCUUUCAAUGCGUAAUUACCGAAAAGCUGAAUCUUUAUCUUUUUUAGAUGUCUCGCAAGAAACAGAGCAUACACUGACAGCAAUGUAUAGCACAAGAUAUUUUUGUCCGGCGCUUGACAGCUUGUUGCAAAUACUUGGAUCAACUGGAACUUCAUCUGCAAUUGCUGGAAACUACGUUUUGCUUUUAAAAAAUAUGUUUAAUAUAUUUAAAUCCUGC
Molecule: RNA transcript, 2358 nt
Organism: Drosophila sechellia
Lineage: Eukaryota; Metazoa; Arthropoda; Insecta; Diptera; Drosophilidae
Exons: 10
Source: RefSeq, a predicted model, not a curated record